CCUGUUACAAAAGAGACACCCACCUGGAAGAGCUGCCAUCACUCACUGAGUGACUGAUGAGAACAGAUCCAGCUGGGACUUUACUUAGAGAGAAAGCCACAUAAAGUCACAAAGCAUCCGAGUGCCCUUCUGUACAGCAGCCUUUGUAGUUGCUCCUCUCCUGCUGCUUUUCCCAAUGGCCUGCCUCAUCUUCACAGAAAUCUCUCUUGCCUCACUUGUCUGGAGCAUGUUGCCCUCCAGCACUUGUACUGAGCAGAAGUCACUCUGCAAGCCACGGCUGGGUGUUGGCUAUCUGAAGGGUACGUGCAUAGCCUUUAUGCCAUGGCUCCAGAUCUACAUGGGAAAAUCAGGGCUGCAAAUCUUUGAAGCCCUGAGGGUCUUGCCAUCCUUGCUCACUUCAUAAAUAUACUUGAUGAUGAAGUAUCAUAAAAGAAAGCCUGACUUUUCCUACAGGAAAUUUUUUUUAUUCCUCUAACUGCAUUUCAGAACACAGGUAUGUUGAACAUGGAGCUUUUCCACACAUGGCUACAAGACUUGACCAAGAAACAUCAAAGCACAUAGUUAUGGCACUUUUCAGUCUAAGUUUGGUAACAGCUACUGUCAUGAGAUACCUUAAAAAAAUCCAGGACUAAGCUCUUCUGAACUUUCAUCAAUGGCCUUCUAACAGCUUUGCUUGGUACUCUUGCAACUUGACUUUGUUUCUUAAAAGCAAAUAAGAUUUCAUCAGAUUGUAUUAAUAUAAAAAAUUUAGUAAAAAAGAAAGAGGUGACUGCUGUUUUUACAUAUUACUCAAAUGAAAACAAUAACCACAUAUACCUCUUGUAGCAGCUACUUUUCUCAGCAAUAUAUUUGGCCACUUUGGUAGUAAACGGAACACUAGAGUCAUUUAAAAGUUUCAAGUCUUCAAGUUUAAUCAGAAUCUAUGAUUUUCCGGAAGUGGCCUAGGAACAAAAAAAUCAAAUAACAACAAAACAACAAACAAAUAAUCAAACAAACAAACAAACAAAAACAAUGUACUCAGUCAGCUUUGAAGGGAAAAAUAGGAAGAUCAAGAACUGACUGAAGAAAUCAAGAUCAGUAACUGCCAAGUUUAACUUAACUCCCUUGUGGCACACCCAGCAAUAACUGCAGAUUUGACUGCAGUGAAGAAGUGGAACAAAACGUCUGGCUCUCCAGGGAAAGAUGGAAGGUAUCUAAAACAUCUUCUCAUAGUUCAUACAUUUCAGCAUUUGACACAAAACUGGUAUGUACAUA
Long non-coding RNA from Cygnus olor (mute swan), 1254 nucleotides. RefSeq lists it as uncharacterized. NCBI's taxonomy places the organism in Eukaryota, Metazoa, Chordata, Aves, Anseriformes, Anatidae. The record is from RefSeq and is a predicted model, not a curated record. The transcript has 5 exons.